UACGGAGGGGGUUAGCGUUGUUCGGAAUUACUAGGCGUAAAGCGCACGUAGGCGGACUGGAAAGUUGGGGGUGAAAUCCUGGGGCUCAACCCCGGAACUGCCUCCAAAACUUCCAAUCUAGAGAUCGAGAGAGGUGAGUGGAAUUCCAAGUGUAGAGGUGAAAUUCGUAGAUAUUUGGAGGAACACCAGUGGCGAAGGCGGCUCACUGGCUCGAUACUGACGCUGAGGUGCGAAAGCGUGGGGAGCAAACAGGAUUAGAAACCCCAGUAGUCC
This 273-nucleotide ribosomal RNA is filed under the name uncultured bacterium. RNAcentral's name for it is "partial 16S ribosomal RNA". It matches the Rfam family "Bacterial small subunit ribosomal RNA", at positions 524 to 796 of the family's 1533-position model. The record is from RNAcentral.